RNAcentral lists this ribosomal RNA (497 nucleotides) under uncultured bacterium. RNAcentral describes it as "partial 16S ribosomal RNA". It matches the Rfam family "Bacterial small subunit ribosomal RNA", at positions 28 to 507 of the family's 1533-position model. The record is from RNAcentral.
GAUGAACGCUGGCGGCGUGCCUAAUACAUGCAAGUCGAGCGAACAGACGAGGAGCUUGCUCCUCCGACGUUAGCGGCGGACGGGUGAGUAACACGUGGAUAACCUACCUAUAAGACUGGGAUAACUUCGGGAAACCGGAGCUAAUACCGGAUAAUAUAUUGAACCGCAUGGUUCAAUAGUGAAAGACGGUUUUGCUGUCACUUAUAGAUGGAUCCGCGCCGCAUUAGCUAGUUGGUAAGGUAACGGCUUACCAAGGCAACGAGGCGUAGCCGACCUGAGCGAGUAUACGGCGACACUGUGACUGGGACGCGGUCCAGACUCCUACGGGAGGCAGGAGUAGGGAAUCUUGCGCAAAAGGCGUAAGCCUGACGGAGCAACGCCGCGUGAGUGAUGACGGUCUUCGGAUCGUAAAACUCUGUUAUUAGGGAAGAACAAAUGUGUAAGUAACUAUGCACGUCUUGACGGUACCUAAUCAGAAAGCCACGGCUAACUACGUG